RNAcentral lists this long non-coding RNA (2079 nucleotides) under Equus caballus (horse). RNAcentral describes it as "lncRNA (ENSECAG00000060317.1)". The record is from RNAcentral. Lineage: Eukaryota; Metazoa; Chordata; Mammalia; Perissodactyla; Equidae.
CAUGAGUGUGCCACUUCCUGAUGGGCCCAGCCCCAGAUCACAACAGUCCACACAGACCGCAUUCAAGCCCUGGUUGAAGAGAAGUCAAAGUAGGAGCUGACUCCAGUGACGUUAAGCAGCUGUCGCAGAAAUAGGAGAAAAGAGGCGAAAAGAUUCACUGUCACCAAAUCACAGUGGCUGGGAAAACACCUGGAUCCUCCACUUCUACAACAUUUAUGGAGAAUCUGUUACAUCUCAUCCCUGUUAAGUCCAGACAUGACGCUCAGGAGAGGCUAGAUCCUUUCCCUCAAGGACUAACCAUCUGUGGGGGAGAGAGUCACAAAACAGAUUCCCAAACAAGCAUUUUGUUACAAGUAACAUUUCAAUUCAGACUAGACACAUUUCAAGUGUUCGAUAGCCUCAUGCGGCUAGUGGCUACUCUGUCAAAUAGCAAAGUUCUGGAAGGCCUUGCUACUGGAUGAAAGAAGCCUACUGCAUCUACAUCAAACUGCCAAAGCAAGAAAUAAUCUUCUGUUGUAUUAAGCAAGCCACUGAGAUCUGAGGGCUUAUUUGUUACUAUAGCAUAGUUUACCGCUACUCUGACUAUUAUAAAAACUGUUAUAAAUUCAGGGCCAAUCAACAGACUUUCCCUCUACCUCUGAAGUUUAAAGAAAUUGGAUGUGUCUGAACAAAAAUAAAAUCUUUGACCAGGAAAUUAGGUGAGGGAUUGAUGCACUCAUGGUUUUCACCAGUGGAGGCAAACUUACUGAAGAGUGGAAGAGAUGGCGUUGACCGUCUAACCGGUCACUAUCAGUUGUGUGCACAAAACUGAGUUCUAUUCACAAGUCAAACAGAUUAGGAGACUCCUUUCCUGCUUGAUUGUUAAAAACCUAUCUUUUUUGGAGGAUAUCAUUCAGUCAAACACUAAAGUUAUUAUUAAAUAUGAUAAAUAAAAAUGGCAAGCAACAGGAUAUUUUGGAGUAUAUGACAAAGCCAUUUGGUGUAAACUUAAUUCAGUCUGACUUUGUUUUUCCAAAAGGGCCUGACAUGGCCAUUGAGUGUGCAUUGUAUAUCUGCUUUAAGCAUGUGCUGGGUCCCAAAGACAGGAACAAAUCGCCUUAUGAUAAAGAUGCAACUUCCCCCACAUUGGCAUUUCCUUAAGGAUAAGCAUCUCUCCCUAGGCUAGGAACUGAUUGCUCUGCUCGCCUGUGACCACCCAGCUUGAGACAAAAGAUCUGCCACCCUGCUGUGUCCAUCAAUCUCUGUGCUGAAAGGGCAGUCAUGUGACUAUUGUAAAAGGGACAUUUCAAUCCUAUGUGAAACAUUCUCUUAGAGGGUAUAUAACCACUCUGCACACCCCACUUCUUUGGUGCUCUUCCUUCCUUGGAGAAGGAAGGCCUUGGGAUAUAUGGUCCUCACAUUUGGUUCAGAAUAAACUCACCCGAAAUAUUCAUUUAUAGAUUGGUUAUGGAUUAUUCACGUUGGCUCAUACAUCUUUCCAAGCUUUCUUCUUUCUUCUUUACUAUUCUCUUCCCUUCUGGUCUUACCAUUAAUUUCUCAGAAGUCACAAGUGCUUGACUCCCAGUAGAGGGAUAAAGGAGUCUGAUACGGUGAGUUGGCAAAUGUUGGGCUUGUGAUAACUGGGUUGGGUACACCCCCACAUUCUCUCAGCCCAGCUUUCUUUUCUGCCAGGUGUUCAGGAAGACUAGCUGUUGACAGCUGUAGUUGAAGAGGCAUGGAGGCUGAAGUACCAGAUUGUGGAUCACUUGAUGAUCUUUGGACGUCUAAUUAUGACCACCUAUGUCACAAGCUGUUGAAAGGCUCACCUGUGACCACCCAGCUGGAGACAACAGACUGCCACCCCGCUGUGUUCACUGAGACAGAAGACCUACCUGCUGUUUCCAUCAAUCGCUGUGUCGACAGAGCUGUCUUGCGACUAUUGUAAAAAGGACAUUUCAAUCCUAUGUGAAACAUCCUCUCUGGGAGUAUAUAACCACUCUGUGUACCCACUUCUUUGGUGCCCUUUCUUCCUUCAGGAAGAAAGGCCCCGGGCCAUGGUCCUCAGAUUUCAGCUCAGAAUAAACUCACCCAAAUUUUCAU